RNAcentral lists this long non-coding RNA (435 nucleotides) under Lupinus angustifolius (narrow-leaved blue lupine). Its description in RNAcentral is "long non-coding RNA (LANG_LNC002127)". Lineage: Eukaryota; Viridiplantae; Streptophyta; Magnoliopsida; Fabales; Fabaceae. The record is from RNAcentral.
UUUAUUUUUUAUAUUUGUUAUAUAUAUUUGCUAUAUAUAUGUUUGUUUAGUUCUGGUCUUUUAGUGUCAUUAUUUAUUUGUCAUGUGUCUGAUAUUUAUCUUCAUUAUAUAUCAUUUAGGCAAUUUAUAUGAGCACAGUUUCAGCUUAUUGUAGCAAACUACUAACUCCCUCCAGUGUUGGCGCCUUUCUGCGUUGUGGGUUCAAUUUCCUCAUUCAAAAUUUGUCUUUUUCUUUUCUUCACCUGCAUCAUCUCAUGAUUCUAUGUCCCCUUACUACUAUUUUUAGGGUCUUAUACUGAUAUUUAUUUUCAUUAUAUAUUAUUUAGGCAAUUUAUAUGAGCACAGUUUCAGCUUAUUUUAGCAAACUACUAACACCCUUCAGUGUUGGCUUUUCUGCGUUGUGUGUUCAAUUUCCUCAUUCAAAAUUUGUCUUUU